Molecule: ribosomal RNA, 527 nt
Filed under: uncultured marine bacterium
Lineage: Bacteria
Description: bacterial SSU rRNA
Rfam family: Bacterial small subunit ribosomal RNA
Source: RNAcentral
CGCACCCUGCAUCUAGCCAUGCCGCGUGAGUGAUGAAGGCCUUAGGGUCGUAAAGCUCUUUCGCCUGUGAUGAUAAUGACAGUAGCAGGUAAAGAAACCCCGGCUAACUCCGUGCCAGCAGCCGCGGUAAUACGGAGGGGGUUAGCGUUGUUCGGAAUUACUGGGCGUAAAGCGCGCGUAGGCGGAUUAGAAAGUUGGGGGUGAAAUCCCGGGGCUCAACCUCGGAACUGCCUCCAAAACUGCUAGUCUAGAGUUCGAGAGAGGUGAGUGGAAUUCCGAGUGUAGAGGUGAAAUUCGUAGAUAUUCGGAGGAACACCAGUGGCGAAGGCGGCUCACUGGCUCGAUACUGACGCUGAGGUGCGAAAGUGUGGGGAGCAAACAGGAUUAGAUACCCUGGUAGUCCACACCGUAAACGAUGAAUGCCAGUCGUCGGGUAGUAUACUAUUCGGUGACACACCUAACGGAUUAAGCAUUCCGCCUGGGGAGUACGGUCGCAAGAUUAAAACUCAAAGGAAUUGACGGAUCCU